This 324-nucleotide ribosomal RNA is filed under the name uncultured eukaryote. Its description in RNAcentral is "partial 18S ribosomal RNA". It matches the Rfam family "Eukaryotic small subunit ribosomal RNA", at positions 1470 to 1796 of the family's 1831-position model. The record is from RNAcentral.
CCCUUAGAUGUUCUGGGCCGCACGCGCGCUACACUGAUACGUUCAACGAGCUCCUUGACCGAGAGGCCCGGGUAAUCUUUGAAACCGUAUCGUGAUGGGGAUAGAACAUUGCAAUUAUUGUUCUUCAACGAGGAAUGCCUAGUAAGCGCGAGUCAUCAUCUCGCGUUGAUUACGUCCCUGCCCUUUGUACACACCGCCCGUCGCUCCUACCGAUUGAACGUGCUGGUGAAGCGUUAGGACUGGAGGUCUUGGGCCGGUUCGCCUGCCCAUAGCUUCGGGAAUUUCGUUGAACCCUNCNGUUUAANGGAAGGAGAANUCGUANCA